GACGAACGCUGUUUGCGUGCUUAACACAUGCAAGUCGAACGGAAAGGCCCUGCUUUUGUGGGGUGCUCGAGUGGCGAACGGGUGAGUAACACGUGAGUAACCUGCCCUUGACUUUGGGAUAACUUCAGGAAACUGGGGCUAAUACCGGAUAGGAGCUCCUGCUGCAUGGUGGGGGUUGGAAAGUUUCGGCGGUUGGGGAUGGACUCGCGGCUUAUCAGCUUGUUGGUGGGGUAGUGGCUUACCAAGGCUUUGACGGGUAGCCGGCCUGAGAGGGUGACCGGCCACAUUGGGACUGAGAUACGGCCCAGACUCCUACGGGAGGCAGCAGUGGGGAAUAUUGCACAAUGGGCGGAAGCCUGAUGCAGCAACGCCGCGUGCGGGAUGACGGCCUUCGGGUUGUAAACCGCUUUCGCCUGUGACGAAGCGUGAGUGACGGUAAUGGGUAAAGAAGCACCGGCUAACUACGUGCCAGCAGCCGCGGUGAUACGUAGGGUGCGAGCGUUGUCCGGAUUUAUUGGGCGUAAAGGGCUCGUAGGUGGUUGAUCGCGUCGGAAGUGUAAUCUUGGGGCUUAACCCUGAGCGUGCUUUCGAUACGGGUUGACUUGAGGAAGGUAGGGGAGAAUGGAAUUCCUGGUGGAGCGGUGGAAUGCGCAGAUAUCAGGAGGAACACCAGUGGCGAAGGCGGUUCUCUGGGCCUUUCCUGACGCUGAGGAGCGAAAGCGUGGGGAGCGAACAGGCUUAGAUACCCUGGUAGUCCACGCUGUAAACGGUGGGUACUAGGUGUGGGGUCCAUUCCACGGGUUCCGUGCCGUAGCUAACGCUUUAAGUACCCCGCCUGGGGAGUACGGCCGCAAGGCUAAAACUCAAAGGAAUUGACGGGGCCCCGCACAAGCGGCGGAGCAUGCGGAUUAAUUCGAUGCAACGCGUAGAACCUUACCUGGGUUUGACAUGGAUCGGGAGUGCUCAGAGAUGGGUGUGCCUCUUUUGGGGUCGGUUCACAGGUGGUGCAUGGCUGUCGUCAGCUCGUGUCGUGAGAUGUUGGGUUAAGUCCCGCAACGAGCGCAACCCUUGUUCACUGUUGCCAGCACGUUAUGGUGGGGACUCAGUGGAGACCGCCGGGGUCAACUCGGAGGAAGGUGGGGAUGACGUCAAGUCAUCAUGCCCCUUAUGUCCAGGGCUUCACGCAUGCUACAAUGGCUGGUACAGAGAGUGGCGAGCCUGUGAGGGUGAGCGAAUCUCGGAAAGCCGGUCCCAGUUCGGAUUGGGGUCUGCAACUCGACCUCAUGAAGUCGGAGUCGCUAGUAAUCGCAGAUCAGCAACGCUGCGGUGAAUACGUUCCCGGG
Molecule: ribosomal RNA, 1343 nt
Filed under: uncultured bacterium
Lineage: Bacteria
Description: 16S ribosomal RNA
Rfam family: Bacterial small subunit ribosomal RNA
Source: RNAcentral